This 150-nucleotide long non-coding RNA is filed under the name Cricetulus griseus (Chinese hamster). Its description in RNAcentral is "lncRNA (ENSCGRG00000024156.1)". The record is from RNAcentral. Lineage: Eukaryota; Metazoa; Chordata; Mammalia; Rodentia; Cricetidae.
GUUGGCCCCGGUGGCCCUGGCUGUGGGGAUUGAUGGGAGCCUCUUCGUCGGUGACUUCAAUUACAUCCGGCGCAUCUUCCCCUCUCGAAAUGUGACCAGUAUCUUGGAGGGAGUUACGAAAUAAAGAGUUUAAACAUAGGUAAGAUGAAG